GGAUGUGGAGUAGGAGGUUGAGGAGGCGGUGACCGUGGCGGCAAAGACUCAUACGGAUGCCUGUCCUAUCAAAUUUCGAUGUUACUUUCUGCGCCUACCAUGGUGACCACAGGUAACGGGGAAUCAGGGUUCGAUUCUGGAGAGGGAGCCUGAGAAACGGCUACCAUAUCAAAGGAAGGCAGCUAGUGCGCAAAUGACCCACUCCCAACUGGAGAGGGAGC
Non-coding RNA from Pelobates cultripes (western spadefoot toad), 221 nucleotides. NCBI's taxonomy places the organism in Eukaryota, Metazoa, Chordata, Amphibia, Anura, Pelobatidae. The record is from the annotation of a GenBank genome assembly.